This 253-nucleotide ribosomal RNA is filed under the name uncultured bacterium. RNAcentral describes it as "partial 16S ribosomal RNA". It matches the Rfam family "Bacterial small subunit ribosomal RNA", at positions 524 to 776 of the family's 1533-position model. The record is from RNAcentral.
UACGGAGGGUGCAAGCGUUGUCCGGAAUCACUGGGCGUAAAGGGCGCGUAGGCGGCUCAUGAAGGCUGUGGUGAAAGUCCGGGGCUCAACCUCGGAUCGGCCGUGGCGACUCGUGGGCUGGAGCACUGUAGAGGCGGGUGGAAUUCCGGGUGUAGCGGUGGAAUGCGUAGAGAUCCGGAAGAACACCAGUGGCGUAGGCGGCCCGCUGGGCAGUGGCUGACGCUGAGGCGCGACAGCGUGGGGAGCAAACAGG